CGAACGCUGGUAGCGUGGAUAGGCAUGCAAGUCGAACGGGAUCCGGAAGGUAGCAAUAUCGUCCGGUGAGAGUGGCGGAAGGGCGAGGAACGCGUGGACAACCUGUCCAUGGGACGGGGAAAACUCCGGGGAAACUGGAGCUAAUACCCGAUACGUCGCGGGGCGGCAUCGCUUCAGCGGCAAAGGGGGCGCCGCAAGGGCUCCCGCCCAACGAGGGGUCCGCGUAUCAUCAGCUUGUUGGCGGGGUAACGCCCACCAAGGCUUACGAUUAGCUGGUCUGAGAGGAUGGCCAGCCGCACUGGGACUGAGAUACUGCCCAGACUCCUACGGGAGGCUGCAGUCGAGGAUCAUUCGCAAUGGGGGAAACCCUGACGAUGCGACGCUGCGUGGAGGACGACGGCCUUCGGGUUGUAAACUCCUGUCAUCGGGGAAAAGGCGAGGGAGCCCAACACGUUCCUUAGUUGAUGGUACCCGAAGAGGAAGCGACGGCUAACUCUGUGCCAGCCGCCGC
This 511-nucleotide ribosomal RNA is filed under the name uncultured bacterium. RNAcentral describes it as "bacterial SSU rRNA". It matches the Rfam family "Bacterial small subunit ribosomal RNA", at positions 30 to 518 of the family's 1533-position model. The record is from RNAcentral.